UCCAAAAGCCUCUGUAUCCUCAUUAUGGC
This 29-nucleotide small RNA is filed under the name Bombyx mori (domestic silkworm). RNAcentral's name for it is "ovarian small RNA-26441". The record is from RNAcentral. Lineage: Eukaryota; Metazoa; Arthropoda; Insecta; Lepidoptera; Bombycidae.